RNAcentral lists this ribosomal RNA (419 nucleotides) under uncultured bacterium. RNAcentral's name for it is "bacterial SSU rRNA". It matches the Rfam family "Bacterial small subunit ribosomal RNA", at positions 8 to 429 of the family's 1533-position model. The record is from RNAcentral.
AGAGUUUGAUCCUGGCUCAGAUUGAACGCUGGCGGCAUGCCUUACACAUGCAAGUCGAACGGCAGCACGGGAGCAAUCCUGGUGGCGAGUGGCGAACGGGUGAGUAAUACAUCGGAACGUGUCCUGUAGUGGGGGAUAGCCCGGCGAAAGCCGGAUUAAUACCGCAUACGCUCUACGGAGGAAAGGGGGGGAUCUUAGGACCUCCCGCUACAGGGGCGGCCGAUGGCAGAUUAGCUAGUUGGUGGGGUAAAGGCCUACCAAGGCGACGAUCUGUAGCUGGUCUGAGAGGACGACCAGCCACACUGGGACUGAGACACGGCCCAGACUCCUACGGGAGGCAGCAGUGGGGAAUUUUGGACAAUGGGGGAAACCCUGAUCCAGCAAUGCCGCGUGUGUGAAGAAGGCCUUCGGGUUGUAAA